This 3032-nucleotide long non-coding RNA is filed under the name Nicotiana benthamiana. RNAcentral describes it as "long non-coding RNA (NBEN_LNC036324)". Lineage: Eukaryota; Viridiplantae; Streptophyta; Magnoliopsida; Solanales; Solanaceae. The record is from RNAcentral.
UUCCUUUAAAAUCCCUAUUAUACUAGACCUAGCAUAUAGAUCAUUAGACCCCUAAGACCCGAGGAGAAAUUAAAAGACGGCGGACCGUAGAGACCCUUUCCCAGAAAAUACAUAGAACAUCGACUUCAAGGAAGACCUCAAGUUUCAGCCAUGAGAGGACCUUCCUAAUCCCCUUCAGUAGAGUAUGUUCCCCUCUUUCUUCUUUAUCGUUCUAUUGCUCACACAACAGAGAACGAGGCAAAUCUGAGUUCCCUUAUUCUGUUUCGAUUCCUUCACUUCUCGACACAGAUAAAUAAGAAGACCUUCACAUUCACACACGAUAAAAUGGGCCUACCAAAUUCGGGAAUCUGGGAAUUUCAAGAGUUUUAAAAAGCAAAGCAAAGAUUAUUGUGCUGAAUUCGUAGAUGAACGUCGACCUUAACUUUCGGCCUUCAUAUGGCCUUUGUUGUUCGUUUCUGCUAGCGAAAAGGUAAACACAUAAAACUCCAGAUGUGUUUGAAUGUUCUUCAAUGAAAAAUGAGCUGUCUAUCUACUCGAGAUCCGUAUGAAAUUUGUUUUGCUCAGAUUUAGAACUGUCUCCUUAGUGCUGAAUUUGAUUUUACGCCUUGAAGCCAUAACUCACAGAUGUUAAUGUGAGCUUUUAAAAUUUACUAUGUGUCGAUUUGAUUAACAGUUGCAGUGCUUACUUUAAGAUUAAAUCUGAAAUGUUUCUCUAUGCUAUUCUGCUUGUGUGAUAAUCUCCUUGGUUUGGUUUGAUUCAGUUUAUAUUCUGUCAAAGUUUGCCAAUUAGAAAUUAUGUUCAUUUUCGAAUUUACCUGAAUGAUUAUUGAUGCGGAAAGCUCUGACACUAGCGUGCUUCAGUUAUUCUGGUUUGUAGGUAAAUUAUCUCAAAUGGAAUGAGCUCAUGUUUGAAGUUUUUCUCCCUAAUUUUGUUUUGGCUUCAUGGACUUCUUUUUCUUUUAUUUGCUCUGUGAUCUUAGUACUGCCUCCUCCUUGCUUGGUCUGUUCAACACUUGCCCUUCAUCAUAGAUUAUUUCAGUCAAAAAAUAUUGUUUGCCUCAAGCUUUGGAAGUAUAUUGUUAGAACACAUUCCCAUGUUGUUGCAUUUCGAGCAAUUACAAGUCAAGAUGGAAUGACUGCAGACCAGUACUACUUAUAUUUCAAGUUCUUUGACUCUUUGACCAUGUAGUAAGAAAGAUCUCAAUAGUGUUAGUGGUAAAUCAAGUUCUACUUACUUAUUGCGUCAAAGCCUCCAUCAUAGUGGAGUGGGAAUAAGCUUGCGUUUGGUGACUUAAAUUGCUUAAGAAGGCUAAAUUUGGUGAUUGAAGUAGGUUAUUUUCUUUUUUGAUUUUCGGCGUAUAAUAAAAAGGAAGAACAAUUCAUGAUCAUCCAUAGGUUAUUUAAUUGAGUAUAAAUCUUUUAAAAUAAAUUGAGGCGUGUCAUAUUAAGUAAGAUAUAGUUUAUGGCCGCUUAGUUCGAGCUACCUUUGAAAUUGGAAUCGAGGUGUGCCAUGCCAAAUAAAAUAUAAAAAAGCAUGGCCCUCAUUUAAUUAAUUUUAAAUCCUUAGAAAUCGAGGCGUUCCAUUCAGUUUAAUUUUUCAUGGCCUUCGCAAAUUUGAAAGCAUGUAGUUUCUUUAGGUGCUUAAUUUGAAUUAAUUUUCUUAAACUUGGGUGUGCAUUUCAUGUGACCCAAAUCCAAAUCUAAACAUCGUUAAAUAAUUGUGUUGUGGGCCGCAGGUGCAUUUCAUGUGGCGUGGUUCAAAGACGUAUUUUUGAUAAUGUUGAAUUUUCCUAAAAAUAAUUUACAAGCCUUUAAUAACCUACAAUUUAACCAUAUGCUAAAACAUGUAUUAAAAUCGGAUAAUAGGCCAAUUAUAAUAGUUUAAGUAACCGUACUAGAAUAACAAAAUCCGGGAGUGCCUAACACCUUUCCUCGGGUUAACAGAAUUCCUUAUUCAAAAUUUAUGGUUAGCACACUUAAAAAGGAAAGUCAAAUUCUCCUCGAUUUGGGAUUUUAUAUAAACCAGUCACUUGAGACACCAGAAAACAAACCAUCCCAAGUGGCAACUCUGAAUAAAAAAUAAAUAAAUAAUUUCAUUUCAAAUAAUAUAACUUAAAGUGGAAAAUCUCCCUUAUACCCUUUGGGUGGGUAGAAAGGAGGUGUGACAGCUCUGGCGACUCCGCUAGGUAUCCAAACCUAGAACUUCCGUUCAGGGUUCAAGAAUUCGAGCUUAGAAUAGCAUUUAUAGUUGACUUUAUUUAUUGUCUGAUUUUUACAUAUUUGUAUUUGAAAAUAUCAUGCAUUUUAAGUUUUUAAAAAAUCGGUAAAGGUGCUGCACUUGGCUUCCAUGUUUAUUAUGAAUACCUGUCAAUAUCCACACCUUUGAUUACAGGUGGUAGGCCAUAUAUUUGCUCUAUACGAUCGAUUUGCUGAUUUGCUCCUUCAACUGUUUCUGCAAAGUUAGCACUAAAAUUUGUAAAUUAGAAUUAUUUGGUGUACCUGGCCCUCCACCACGAGAUUCAUUAGGAAUUUCUCCAUUUACCAUCAAGACUUGAACGUGAGUUCUCCAAAGUUGUCGUGUUGACUGGUGGAGGAGUUUGCGCCGCAUUGGGUAAUCCUCUAAUAAAAGCUUGCAAGACAUUGUGCAUGUGUUCUGCAGUCAAUUGCUUUAGAGUACCUUGCUCCACUAUUUGGGCGUCUCCCUACUGAUCAUCAGUGUGCAAAACUAACCUUUCAGGUGAAUUUUCACAAGAUUGCCAAGGGGAUCCUGUAGGUAUAUGGUGUGGUGGAGUUUCACCUUGUUGGUUCAGCUGAUCAUUCUCGAUAACAGUUGACAUACUUGGUUGUUAAAAUGGAGAUUUUAAAUUGAACAAAUUAUCAGAUUUUCGUUAAAGGAACUAAUUUUUUUAACCAAAAAUAGAUUUCUCUGUCAAAGUCAAUAUCUAAAAGAAAUCAGAUUACUAAUAACCAAGAUUUUGUUAUAAAUAGAACUCUAUUUAAGGUGAAUGUCUAUAUUUAGAGAGAUUCUAGAG